CCUACGGGCGGCAGCAGUGAGGAAUAUUGGUCAAUGGGCGCGAGCCUGAACCAGCCAAGUCGCGUGAGGGAUGAAGGUUCUAUGGAUCGUAAACUUCUUUUAUAAGGGAAUAAAGUGUGGGACGUGUCCUAUUUUGUAUGUACCUUAUGAAUAAGGAUCGGCUAACUCCGUGCCAGCAGCCGCGGUAAUACGGAGGAUCCGAGCGUUAUCCGGAUUUAUUGGGUUUAAAGGGUGCGUAGGCGGCCUUUUAAGUCAGCGGUGAAAGUCUGUGGCUCAACCAUAGAAUGGCCGUUGAAACUGGGUGUCUUGAGUAUAUUAGAGGCAUGCGGAAUGCGUGGUGUAGCGGUGAAAUGCUUAGAUAUCACGCAGAACCCCGAUUGCGAAGGCAGCCUGCCAAGCCAUGACUGACGCUGAUGCACGAAAGCGUGGGGAUCAAACAGGAUUAGAUACCCCUGUAGUC
Molecule: ribosomal RNA, 460 nt
Filed under: uncultured bacterium
Lineage: Bacteria
Description: partial 16S ribosomal RNA
Rfam family: Bacterial small subunit ribosomal RNA
Source: RNAcentral